GCGUGCGUGCGUGCGUGCGUGCGUGCGUGCGUGCGUGCGUGCGUGCGUGCGUGCGUGCGUGCGUGCGUGCGUGCGUGCGUGCGUGCGUGCGUGCGUGCGUGCGUGCGUGCGUGCGUGCGUGCGUGCGUGCGUGCGUGCGUGCGUGCGUGCGUGCGUGCGUGCGUGCGUGCGUGCGUGCGUGCGUGCGUGCGUGCGUGCGUGCGUGCGUGCGUGCGUGCGUGCGUGCGUGCGUGCGUGCGUGCGUGCGUGCGUGCGUGCGUGCGUGCGUGCGUGCGUGCGUGCGUGCGUGCGUGCGUGCGUGCGUGCGUGCGUGCGUGCGUGCGUGCGUGCGUGCGUGCGUGCGUGCGUGCGUGCG
RNAcentral lists this long non-coding RNA (355 nucleotides) under Helianthus annuus (common sunflower). RNAcentral's name for it is "sRNA HanXRQr2_Chr16g0740761". The record is from RNAcentral. Lineage: Eukaryota; Viridiplantae; Streptophyta; Magnoliopsida; Asterales; Asteraceae.